CUCCCACUGUGCUUGUAUCUUGCAUGGAAAAUAUUUGGGUGAAUAACCUUAGCAAUAGUUGCCCAAUCUGAACUUUGAUGGUUCCAUGCAACUGAGAAGAUAGAACCAGUUAAUCUAAAACUGGUUUUAGGGUUCUAAGAUCAUGAUGUCCUAUUACAUCACAGAAAGAACAACUAGCAGGAGGAUAAACAUCUUCAUUCCACCAUCCCUGUGAAAGGCAAUGGGGCAGGAACCUCAGUGGCCACCACUGGAGAACAUGAAAAUUACUGAUUAUGCAUUUCUCCUUCCAAAGAAUAUACAGUGUAAAGUUUGCAGUUACAUGGAAGGACUGUAGGAGACAAGUCUGGAAAGAUGAGGUGGUCUUAAAUACCAGGUGUAUAGUUUAGAAGUUCACUGGCAACAUGGAGCCAUUGAAAGUUGUUGAGAAAUGG
Molecule: long non-coding RNA, 431 nt
Filed under: Fukomys damarensis (Damara mole-rat)
Lineage: Eukaryota; Metazoa; Chordata; Mammalia; Rodentia; Bathyergidae
Description: lncRNA (ENSFDAG00000025344.1)
Source: RNAcentral